CUAGGUCCUAAAGAUCAUUCAUUUACAUCUUCAAGUCAGCUGGUGGAAUAUAAUGGCUACAGACUGUGAAGCCAGAGUACCUAAGCUCUAACUCUGGUUUUACUAAUUCCAGGUUAUAAUGAUGAAGAGUGCUCAUGUCUUCUCCACUCCUGUAUUCUCUUAUUUACCGCCUGGAAAAGUCCUUGCACUGCCAUGCUUUCAUGCUGUUUUCUCAGACAUUUCUCUAUCUAUAAUGGGAAUACAACUCUAAGAGCCAGAAUGAAGUUACCAGUUUUUCCUACCUCAUGGGAUUAUUGGAAGGAUUGAAUGGGAGAAUAUUAUAAAGUAUCUGCACAAUUCUUGGUACAUGUAAAGCUAGUCAAUAAUAUAAGUAAAACUCUAGUCUUCAAUGUUUAGGAUUUAGUGGUUAGGAUAAAAAGUGAUCUAUAUUUUUCCAAGCAAACUUAGAGAACAGAUAAUGAAUCAAAAAAUUCAACAGGAUGAAAAUAGGCAGAACUGCCUGACUUGCUCAUAAUUUUUUGUAAAAUGUCAAUUAUAAUGAAACUUCUGUGAGCAAGAUAUUUUUCUAUUUCUUGAUGGAUCUU
Long non-coding RNA from Myotis brandtii (Brandt's bat), 584 nucleotides. RefSeq lists it as uncharacterized. NCBI's taxonomy places the organism in Eukaryota, Metazoa, Chordata, Mammalia, Chiroptera, Vespertilionidae. The transcript is spliced from 4 exons. The record is from RefSeq and is a predicted model, not a curated record.